RNAcentral lists this ribosomal RNA (364 nucleotides) under Burmoniscus ocellatus. RNAcentral's name for it is "partial 12S ribosomal RNA". Lineage: Eukaryota; Metazoa; Arthropoda; Malacostraca; Isopoda; Philosciidae. The record is from RNAcentral.
UAGAUACCCUAUUAUAUUUAGUAUCAAAACUUUAGGUAGUAGUUGUUAUAAUCUUGAAACCUAAAGAAUUUGGCGGUAUUUAUUUAAAUCAGAGGACCCUGCUAAGUAAACGAUAAUCCACGUUGGAUCUUACUUAAAAAAUGCUUGUAUACCGUCAUCUCUAUACUUUUUUAGAAAAAAUGUGUUCAAUUUGGUUAAAAAAAAUUAAGUUAGAUCUAGGUGCAGCUUUUUUAAGUCCAUGGUGGGGUACAAUUUUUAUUUUAAUAGAUAAAUCUUUUGAAAUAGGAUUGGAAAUAGGAUUUGAAAGUAAUCCAAGUUUAAUAAGCUAGGAUGAGUAGCUAACUAAAUAUGUACACAUCGCCCG